Molecule: non-coding RNA, 98 nt
Organism: Myotis brandtii (Brandt's bat)
Lineage: Eukaryota; Metazoa; Chordata; Mammalia; Chiroptera; Vespertilionidae
Source: Rfam
AUCACCAGGGGAUCCUAUUAAAAUGCAGAUCCUGAAUCAGUGGGUCUGGGGUGAAGCCUAAGGUUUUACAUUUCUAGCAAGUCCCCAGGUGAUGCCAA